Non-coding RNA from Cyanistes caeruleus (blue tit), 344 nucleotides. NCBI's taxonomy places the organism in Eukaryota, Metazoa, Chordata, Aves, Passeriformes, Paridae. The record is from RefSeq and is a predicted model, not a curated record.
CAAAAUACUGUCUGCAUCCUCUACCACAUGAGAAAAUCACUUUCACCUGCUACAGCAUCUUUUACCUCAGAAGGAACAGCCUUCUGUUUAAAAUACAGUACACCCGCUCUGGAGGGAUGUGUCAGGAAGUUUCACCCUGCUGAAGUCCUUUAUUCUGACAUUUGAAUUGGAGACAUCAGGAUUUCCCAAUAGGAAGACUGGACCCACUGUGUCUUUGGACUUCUUAUGGAAUACACAGACUAUUCUGCAAGUGCUUGGAGCUGGAGAAAUGCCUGUAACAGCUGGAAUCAUAUUUAAUGACAAGCCAAGGAAGGAACACCCUGAUCUAUGAAAUAAAGAUGAGA